AGAGUUUGAUCAUGGCUCAGGAUGAACGCUGGCGGCGUGCUUAACACAUGCAAGUCGAACGAUGAAGCCCAGCUUGCUGGGUGGAUUAGUGGCGAACGGGUGAGUAACACGUGAGUAACCUGCCCUUAACUCUGGGAUAAGCCUGGGAAACUGGGUCUAAUACCGGAUAGGAGCGUCCACCGCAUGGUGGGUGUUGGAAAGAUUUAUCGGUUUUGGAUGGACUCGCGGCCUAUCAGCUUGUUGGUGAGGUAAUGGCUCACCAAGGCGACGACGGGUAGCCGGCCUGAGAGGGUGACCGGCCACACUGGGACUGAGACACGGCCCAGACUCCUACGGGAGGCAGCAGUGGGGAAUAUUGCACAAUGGGCGAAAGCCUGAUGCAGCGACGCCGCGUGAGGGAUGACGGCCUUCGGGUUGUAAACCUCUUUCAGUAGGGAAGAAGCGAAAGUGACGGUACCUGCAGAAGAAGCACCGGCUAACUACGUGCCAGCAGCCGCGGUAAUACGUAGGGUGCGAGCGUUAUCCGGAAUUAUUGGGCGUAAAGAGCUCGUAGGCGGUUUGUCGCGUCUGUCGUGAAAGUCCGGGGCUUAUCCCCGGGAUCUGCGGUGGGUACGGGCAGACUAGAGUGCAGUAGGGGAGACUGGAAUUCCUGGUGUAGCGGUGGAAUGCGCAGAUAUCAGGAGGAACACCGAUGGCGAAGGCAGGUCUCUGGGCUGUAACUGACGCUGAGGAGCGAAAGCAUGGGGAGCGAACAGGAUUAGAUACCCUGGUAGUCCAUGCCGUAAACGUUGGGCACUAGGUGUGGGGACCAUUCCACGGUUUCCGCGCCGCAGCUAACGCAUUAAGUGCCCCGCCUGGGGAGUACGGCCGCAAGGCUAAAACUCAAAGGAAUUGACGGGGGCCCGCACAAGCGGCGGAGCAUGCGGAUUAAUUCGAUGCAACGCGAAGAACCUUACCAAGGCUUGACAUGUUCUCGAUCGCCGUAGAGAUACGGUUUCCCCUUUGGGGCGGGUUCACAGGUGGUGCAUGGUUGUCGUCAGCUCGUGUCGUGAGAUGUUGGGUUAAGUCCCGCAACGAGCGCAACCCUCGUUCCAUGUUGCCAGCACGUAGUGGUGGGGACUCAUGGGAGACUGCCGGGGUCAACUCGGAGGAAGGUGAGGACGACGUCAAAUCAUCAUGCCCCUUAUGUCUUGGGCUUCACGCAUGCUACAAUGGCCGGUACAAUGGGUUGCGAUACUGUGAGGUGGAGCUAAUCCCAAAAAGCCGGUCUCAGUUCGGAUUGGGGUCUGCAACUCGACCCCAUGAAGUCGGAGUCGCUAGUAAUCGCAGAUCAGCAACGCUGCGGUGAAUACGUUCCCGGGCCUUGUACA
RNAcentral lists this ribosomal RNA (1370 nucleotides) under Micrococcus luteus. Its description in RNAcentral is "16S ribosomal RNA". It matches the Rfam family "Bacterial small subunit ribosomal RNA". Lineage: Bacteria; Bacillati; Actinomycetota; Actinomycetes; Micrococcales; Micrococcaceae. The record is from RNAcentral.